UAGUGUACAAAUCAAUAUAUCACUGAAAACUAAUCUAAACCUGGAAGGAAGGAAAAAUAGAAAAACGCCAAUGAAAAUUCUGGAGACAUAUUAUUCUUAUUGAUCAGUAGCCUGAACCACAUAAAAACUCAAAAAUGAAACAUUGCCUAUUUAAGAUUGAUGAAAGAGAGAAAAUGAAUAAUGUUGUCGUGCCUUUAAACUGGGAAUACGUCAUUUUUUUAUUUUUCAUUCUUAAAUGCGUAGAGAGAAACAAAAUGCAAUUCAUAAUAAAUAUAUCUAGGGAAGCAAGACCUCUCUCAACGUUUCUGGAAUUCAAUAACAAAUUUAAGAAUAUGUUGGGAAGCAAUGAAGGGAUUAAGGAAGCGAAAUGAAUCUGAAGGAAAACCAAAGGAGGAUCUUAACCAAAAUUCUCGAGAGGUGAAAUUUUCAACAACUAAAACCAAAGGAUCAUAUAGUAGCAAGGCAAGAUUUUACAGAAACCUUUAAGAACAAUAAUCUUAUUUCAAGACCUAAGCAAAAUUCUCAACUACUUUCUAAAGAACAUGAUUAAAUUAUAUC
RNAcentral lists this long non-coding RNA (558 nucleotides) under Brassica napus (rape). Its description in RNAcentral is "long non-coding RNA (BNAP_LNC010814)". Lineage: Eukaryota; Viridiplantae; Streptophyta; Magnoliopsida; Brassicales; Brassicaceae. The record is from RNAcentral.